RNAcentral lists this ribosomal RNA (372 nucleotides) under uncultured bacterium. RNAcentral's name for it is "bacterial SSU rRNA". It matches the Rfam family "Bacterial small subunit ribosomal RNA", at positions 28 to 416 of the family's 1533-position model. The record is from RNAcentral.
GAUGAACGCUAGCGGCAGGCCUAAUACAUGCAAGUCGAACGAGAUUAAGAGGCUUGCUUCUUAUGAAAGUGGCGCACGGGUGCGUAACGCGUGGGAACCUGGCCUUGGGUGCGGGAUAACGUCGGGAAACUGGCGCUAAUACCGCAUAAUGUCUACUGACCAAAGAUUUAUCGCCCAAGGAUGGGCCCGCGUUGGAUUAGCUAGAUGGUGGGGUAACGGCCUACCAUGGCGACGAUCCAUAGCUGGUUUGAGAGGAUGAUCAGCCACACUGGGACUGAGACACGGCCCAGACUCCUACGGGAGGCAGCAGUGGGGAAUCUUGGACAAUGGGCGAAAGCCUGAUCCAGCAAUGCCGCGUGCAGGAUGAAGGCC